GACGAACGCUGGCGGCGUGCCUAAUACAUGCAAGUUGAGCGCUGAAGGUUGGUACUUGUACCAACUGGAUGAGCAGCGAACGGGUGAGUAACGCGUGGGGAAUCUGCCUUUGAGCGGGGGACAACAUUUGGAAACGAAUGCUAAUACCGCAUAAAAACUUUAAACACAAGUUUUAAGUUUGAAAGAUGCAAUUGCAUCACUCAAAGAUGAUCCCGCGUUGUAUUAGCUAGUUGGUGAGGUAAAGCUCACCAAGGCGAUGAUACAUAGCCGACCUGAGAGGGUGAUCGGCCACAUUGGGACUGAGACACGGCCCAAACUCCUACGGGAGGCAGCAGUAGGGAAUCUUCGGCAAUGGACGAAAGUCUGACCGAGCAACGCCGCGUGAGUGAAGAAGGUUUUCGGAUCGUAAAACUCUGUUGGUAGAGAAGAACGUUGGUGAGAGUGGAAAGCUCAUCAAGUGACGGUAACUACCCAGAAAGGGACGGCUAACUACGUG
Molecule: ribosomal RNA, 496 nt
Filed under: uncultured bacterium
Lineage: Bacteria
Description: partial 16S ribosomal RNA
Rfam family: Bacterial small subunit ribosomal RNA
Source: RNAcentral